RNAcentral lists this long non-coding RNA (382 nucleotides) under Hordeum vulgare. RNAcentral describes it as "long non-coding RNA (HVUL_LNC013155)". Lineage: Eukaryota; Viridiplantae; Streptophyta; Magnoliopsida; Poales; Poaceae. The record is from RNAcentral.
UCCCAUGCAUAACAAGCACAUGUAAAUUCUUUUAUACCCUCAGAACUAACCAUGAGUUUGUUGAUGUUCUUGUCUAACUUCCUCUUCUUGUUCAUGUUCAUCUUCUUCUCCAUCUUCUGAUUCAGUUUCAUCACCGUGUUCAACGUCAUCUUCUCCAUCUUCUGAUUCAGUUUCAUCACCACUUCCCUCAUGGCUCCUUAAGUCAUCAUGUUCUUCGGCUCUAGAAUUCUUCAAAAUCAAUAUAAAAAAACAAGAUGAGUAAAAAAAAAGUGUUCACAAGUAUCCAUGUUGAGCUCCUCAAGACCAUCAAAAGUAAUAAAAACAAGAAGUCACCAAGCAUUUAAAGAGCUUACCAUAGUGAAGUGUUUUAAUUUAUCCCUAU